RNAcentral lists this ribosomal RNA (253 nucleotides) under uncultured bacterium. RNAcentral describes it as "partial 16S ribosomal RNA". It matches the Rfam family "Bacterial small subunit ribosomal RNA", at positions 524 to 776 of the family's 1533-position model. The record is from RNAcentral.
UACGAAGGGGGCUAGCGUUGUUCGGAAUGACUGGGCGUAAAGCGCACGUAGGCGGAUUGGUCAGUUGGGGGUGAAAUCCCGGGGCUCAACCUCGGAACUGCCUCCAAUACUGCCAAUCUUGAGUUCGGGAGAGGUGAGUGGAAUUCCUAGUGUAGAGGUGAAAUUCGUAGAUAUUAGGAAGAACGCCAGCGGCGAAGGCGGCUCACUGGACCGAUACUGACGCUGAGGUGCGAAAGCGUGGGGAGCAAACAGG